Molecule: unclassified non-coding RNA, 325 nt
Filed under: Hevea brasiliensis (rubber tree)
Lineage: Eukaryota; Viridiplantae; Streptophyta; Magnoliopsida; Malpighiales; Euphorbiaceae
Source: RNAcentral
UCUGUUUAUCAUCAUGAUUAUGGUUAAAUAGGUACUAAAGUAAAAUAAUCAAUGAUUGCGUUUUCUUCUUCUCAAUUGACUUGUACGAAAUUUUACUCGCCUCAGCUAGCAAUUUGCCUCAUAGUUGUUUGAUGGCUGAAUCAAAUGAAAAGAAUCCUCCAACUAAAAGGAAACAUUAGCCCUUCUCAUAAAGACUAUAUCUCUACGGACUUUUAGAACCAUUUGUAGUACCCAAUUAGUGGCAAUGGCACUGUUCUAAACAAUUUGGUUUUUAAUUUUAAGAUCUAUUGAUGCGUCCCACGUCGGUUCUGCAGGGAGGUCUUGG